AACCGUCUAGCUUAGUUGGUAGAGCACAAGACUCUUAACCUUGUGGUUGUGGGUUUGAGCCCUACGGUGGGCG
Molecule: transfer RNA, 73 nt
Filed under: Zea mays
Lineage: Eukaryota; Viridiplantae; Streptophyta; Magnoliopsida; Poales; Poaceae
Rfam family: tRNA
About the family: Transfer RNA (tRNA) molecules are approximately 80 nucleotides in length. Their secondary structure includes four short double-helical elements and three loops (D, anti-codon, and T loops).
Source: Rfam by way of RNAcentral